RNAcentral lists this long non-coding RNA (449 nucleotides) under Helianthus annuus (common sunflower). RNAcentral's name for it is "sRNA HanXRQr2_Chr01g0029741". Lineage: Eukaryota; Viridiplantae; Streptophyta; Magnoliopsida; Asterales; Asteraceae. The record is from RNAcentral.
GUAUUUGGUAGCCAUUUAGGACUUCCCAUGUUGCAACAACGGCUAGAUUAUGCUCUGGUUUGAAAGGAAAUAACGAUGAUGGACAUGGUUAUCAAUUGAAGAAAUAUACGUCGAGUGUUGGAAAAGUUGACAGUGAACAUGAGGCCAGUUAUAUUAAUUAGGCAGCUGAAGAUUGACUUGGUUUCUUGGGGCUCAGGACUAUACCUAAGAUUUUUUUUAUUUGCUUAGACCUUAUAUUCUGCAUUGUUUUCUGGAAAUUCAAUAUGUAACCCUCUCUAUCUUAUUUAAGGUGCGCACACGACCACGUGUUUUGGGUGAGUCCGAGUUGGGACAAAGUUGUAGGGCGUGUGAUCAGGUAAUGUUGUAGGUUCUCUUUGUGAUGUUGUUCUUGAAACGUGUAGAUCUCUUCUAAUAAUUGGAGUGAUACUUGCUGGUCAUUAUAAUAAAAU